UGUAAGUGCACAGCUGUGCAUAUGGUUGCUU
Molecule: non-coding RNA, 31 nt
Filed under: Rattus norvegicus (Norway rat)
Lineage: Eukaryota; Metazoa; Chordata; Mammalia; Rodentia; Muridae
Source: RNAcentral